CUACGUAGGGGGCGAGCGUUGUCCGGAAUUAUUGGGCGUAAAGGGUUCGUAGGCGGUAAUACAUGUCAGAUGUGAAAUCUUGUGGCUUAACCACAUCAAGCAUCUGAAACUGUAUAACUUGAGUGGAGGAGAGGUAAGUGGAAUUCCUAGUGUAGCGGUGAAAUGCGUAGAUAUUAGGAAGAAUACCAGUAGCGAAGGCGACUUACGGGCCUCUAACUGACGCUGAUGAACGAAAGCGGGGGUAGCAAACAGGAUUAGAUACCCUGGUAGUCCACGCCGUAAACGAUGAGUGCUAGGUGUCGGGAGUCAAAUCUCGGUGCCGUAGUUAACGCAAUAAGCACUCCGCCUGGGGAGUACGGCCGCAAGGUUGAAACUCAAAUGAAUUGACGGGG
This 392-nucleotide ribosomal RNA is filed under the name uncultured bacterium. RNAcentral describes it as "partial 16S ribosomal RNA". It matches the Rfam family "Bacterial small subunit ribosomal RNA", at positions 523 to 918 of the family's 1533-position model. The record is from RNAcentral.